Molecule: ribosomal RNA, 253 nt
Filed under: uncultured bacterium
Lineage: Bacteria
Description: partial 16S ribosomal RNA
Rfam family: Bacterial small subunit ribosomal RNA
Source: RNAcentral
UACGGAGGGUGCAAGCGUUGUUCGGAAUUAUUGGGCGUAAAGGGCGUGUAGGCGGUUUGGUAAGUCAGAUGUGAAAGCCCUGGGCUUAACCCAGGAAGUGCAUUUGAAACUACCAGACUUGAGUAUGGGAGAGGAGAGUGGAAUUCCCAGUGUAGAGGUGAAAUUCGUAGAGAUUGGGAGGAACAUCCGUGGCGAAGGCGACUCUCUGGACCAAUACUGACGCUGAGACGCGAAAGAGUGGGGAGCAAACAGG